This is a long non-coding RNA of Strongylocentrotus purpuratus (purple sea urchin), 276 nucleotides long. RefSeq lists it as uncharacterized. The transcript has 3 exons. The record is from RefSeq and is a predicted model, not a curated record. Lineage: Eukaryota; Metazoa; Echinodermata; Echinoidea; Camarodonta; Strongylocentrotidae.
ACUGCAAGAUCCUACCAUACUAAGUGGCCUUUUGAUGUGAUUAUCUUAGCAAAGUUUGAACACCGACAUGAAAUAAGGGUUGCAAAGUAAAGAGCUGUAGCAUCUACAUGAACUGCAAAACUCAUGGCAUCUGGACUUUCAUACCUAAGGUCUUAUUCAUCUCUUCAAGUUGAAAAGAUUCUAGACUGCAGAGCCUGAAUUCCCUGCAACAUUAUGCUUCAUCUGGAACAUCAGCCAGCCUACAGAUACAAGCUCCCUUUCCAGCUCUAAGCAAGA